Molecule: ribosomal RNA, 428 nt
Filed under: Actinomycetes bacterium
Lineage: Bacteria; Bacillati; Actinomycetota; Actinomycetes
Description: Actinobacteria bacterium partial 16S ribosomal RNA
Rfam family: Bacterial small subunit ribosomal RNA
Source: RNAcentral
UAGGGAAUCUUCCGCAAUGGGCGAAAGCCUGACGGAGCAACGGCGCGUGAGUGAUGAAGGUCUUCGGAUCGUAAAACUCUGUUAUUAGGGAAGAACAAAUGUGUAAGUAACUAUGCACGUCUUGACGGUACCUAAUCAGAAAGCCACGGCUAACUACGUGCCAGCAGCCGCGGUAAUACGUAGGUGGCAAGCGUUAUCCGGAAUUAUUGGGCGUAAAGCGCGCGUAGGCGGUUUUUUAGUCUGAUGUGAAAGCCCACGGCUCAACCGUGGAGGGUCAUUGGAAACUGGAAAACUUGAGUGCAGAAGAGGAAAGUGGAAUUCCAUGUGUAGCGGUGAAAUGCGCAGAGAUAUGGAGGAACACCAGUGGCGAAGGCGACUUUCUGGUCUGUAACUGACGCUGAUGUGCGAAAGCGUGGGGAUCAAACAGG